CACUAUGCUUAGCCUUAAACCUAAAUAAUUUUAUAACAAAAUUAUUCGCCAGAGAACUACAAGCCAGAGCUUAAAACUCAAAGGACUUGGCGGUGCUUUAUACCCGCCUAGAGGAGCCUGUUCUAUAAUCGAUAAACCCCGAUAAACCUUACCACUCUUUGCCAACUCAGCCUAUAUACCGCCAUCUUCAGCAAACCCUAAAAAGGAGCAAAAGUAAGCUCAAUCAUCACCAUAAAAACGUUAGGUCAAGGUGUAGCCUAUAGAGUGGGAAGCAAUGGGCUACAUUUUCUACUUUAGAAUACACGAAAGCCCCUAUGAAACUCUAGAGACCAAAGGAGGAUUUAGCAGUAAAUUAAGAAUAGAGUGCUUAAUUGAACGAGGCCAUGAAGCACGC
This 394-nucleotide ribosomal RNA is filed under the name Lepus timidus (Mountain hare). RNAcentral describes it as "partial small subunit ribosomal RNA". It matches the Rfam family "Bacterial small subunit ribosomal RNA", at positions 788 to 1384 of the family's 1533-position model. Lineage: Eukaryota; Metazoa; Chordata; Mammalia; Lagomorpha; Leporidae. The record is from RNAcentral.